CCUUGAAGCGAUGCUCUCUGGCUGUUAAUGAGAAAAAAAGCGAGCGCUUUGCUGAAGAGGCUCUCUGAAGAGGGAACACGAAGGAUGGAGUUCUCCCUGUGGUUGUGAUGCCAUAGCCCAGCCACAUCCCUCUUCUGAGCUGAGUGCAGAUGCUUUUUCAGUGGGACAACCAUUGCCUAAAGCUGUUCUGAGCACAUGAACCUGUGGAAUGGCUGAAAACCAUGUUCCUGAGGCAGGUGGAAGGAAAGUGUCAGCAGUGAUUUCAUUGGGAGAAGCAGCUUGUUAGGCACAGACAUGAGCUGUAAGUGGAAAUUUCAGGAGAGAAAUUUUGUGCUAUAGAUGAUUCUAAAGUCCAUUGGUUAAAUACUGUUUAUGUACAACAGCAAAUGACAUUGUCAUCAGCCUCCUCUGGUUUUAAGGAGAGUUGUGGGGAAGAAUUUCAAGAAAAAGGAGUUUUUUGUAGACAUUGUCAACAGUGCUCUGAAUGUGCUUUGUGCUGGCUGAUGUGGAGCUGCAGUUUGUCUCAGCUGCAGGGGAUGUGCUCACCUUUAAUGCCCAUUUUCAGUCCUCAUUACAUCCUGAGAGGAUGGCUCCAUCAAUGCCCUGGGUUAUGCCCUGGCUGGUACCCUACAGAUGAUGCCUGCUCUUACAGGACACGAACCAGCUCAAGGAAGCUCCAAGUUCAGCUGCUCUCAUUUCAGUCCAGAAGAUCCCAGACUUUGGGUUUUUAAUAGAAGAAACAGAAAUAGACUUCAGUUCAUCAGUACAGGAGAAAAAUACAUCUCUGAGAAUAACAGCCUGGAAAAUGCAUUGGAGCUGUGCUGAUGGACCAGAGCAGCCAGGCCACUGGCAAUCAAAGAAAGCAGCAGCAGGUGAUCAGAAUAUUCCCAGGUAAUUGACUACACUGCAGGCAUCGUAAUGAGUUCCCCAGCAGAAACAAGAUGAGCUGCUAAGCAGACACACCACUGAAAAUGCAAAGCUGGUUCUGAAGUCAAGUAGAUAUUGUCAUAUUUCACGGAACUAUGUGGAAGAACGGCUGCAACGCCUAGGCCCCAGAGAAAAGGGCAUGAAUUCUGAGGAAGAGAAGGAGAGAGCAUCAGGAAGAUAUUUUGUCCAGAAGAUAGCACUUGGUGAAAUACAGUGUUCACAAACUUCAU
Tympanuchus pallidicinctus (lesser prairie-chicken) is the source of this 1157-nucleotide long non-coding RNA. RefSeq lists it as uncharacterized. NCBI's taxonomy places the organism in Eukaryota, Metazoa, Chordata, Aves, Galliformes, Phasianidae. The record is from RefSeq and is a predicted model, not a curated record. The transcript is spliced from 4 exons.